UACGUAGGGGGCAAGCGUUGUCCGGAAUCAUUGGGCGUAAAGCGCGUGUAGGCGGUCCGGUAAGUCCGCUGUGAAAGUCGGGGGCUCAACCCUCGGAUGCCGGUGGAUACUGUCGGGCUUGAGUACGGAAGAGGCGAGUGGAAUUCCUGGUGUAGCGGUGAAAUGCGCAGAUAUCAGGAGGAACACCAACGGCGAAGGCAGCUCGCUGGGACGGUACUGACGCUAAGGCGCGAAAGCGUGGGGAGCGAACAGG
This 253-nucleotide ribosomal RNA is filed under the name uncultured bacterium. Its description in RNAcentral is "partial 16S ribosomal RNA". It matches the Rfam family "Bacterial small subunit ribosomal RNA", at positions 524 to 776 of the family's 1533-position model. The record is from RNAcentral.